AACAGGAUUAGAUACCCUGGUAGUCCACGCCGUAAACGAUGAGUACUAGGUGUCGGGGGUUACCCCCCUCGGUGCCGCAGCUAACGCAUUAAGUACUCCGCCUGGGGAGUACGGCCGCAAGGUUGAAACUCAAAGGAAUUGACGGGGGCCCGCACAAGCAGUGGAUUAUGUGGUUUAAUUCGAAGCAACGCGAAAAACCUUACCAGGGCUUGACAUCCAACUAACGAAGCAGAAAUGCAUUAAGUGCCCUUCGGGGAAAGUUGAGACAGGUGGUGCAUGGUUGUCGUCAGCUCGUGUCGUGAGAUGUUGGGUUAAGUCCCAUAACGAGCGCAACCCCUAUCCUUAGUAGCCAUCAUUGAGUUGGGCACUCUAGGGAGACUGCCAGGGAUAACCUGGAGGAAGGCGGGGAUGACGUCAAAUCAUCAUGCCCCUUAUGUUUAGGGCUACACACGUGCUACAAUGGCUGCUACAAAGGGAGGCGACCUCGUGAGAGUGAGCAAACCUCAAAAAAGCAGUCCCAGUUCGGAUUGUAGUCUGCAACUCGACUACAUGAAGUUGGAAUCGCUAGUAAUCGCGAAUCAGAAUGUCGCGGUGAAUACGUUCCCGGGUCUUGUACACACCGCCCGUCACACCAUGGGAGUUGGUGGGGCCCAACGCCGGUGACCCAACCGUAAGGAGGGAGCCGUCUAAGGCAAAACCAAUAACUGGGGUGAAGUCGUAACAAGGUAACC
This 731-nucleotide ribosomal RNA is filed under the name uncultured bacterium. Its description in RNAcentral is "bacterial SSU rRNA". It matches the Rfam family "Bacterial small subunit ribosomal RNA", at positions 771 to 1501 of the family's 1533-position model. The record is from RNAcentral.